Molecule: long non-coding RNA, 3519 nt
Organism: Papaver somniferum (opium poppy)
Lineage: Eukaryota; Viridiplantae; Streptophyta; Magnoliopsida; Ranunculales; Papaveraceae
Exons: 3
Source: RefSeq, a predicted model, not a curated record
CUUUCCCGUAAUCCCUCUUCCUUCUCUUCAGUUACGGAACUAUUAUCAUUGAAUUGAAUCCUCCUUUCAUUUUAUCCGUCUUCCGUUACAGAAAUAAAUACAAAAACGCAUAGAACAAAAAGUCUUAGCCGUUUCAAAUUCUUUGCAAUCAACGAGGUUUAAGUUUCUUUGCAAUCAACGAGGUUACAUGGAAUGAGAUUUUAUUUGAGUCUCAUAAACUCACGCUUAAGACGUUUCUUCUACAUAAGCUCAUAAUCUCACAACUCAUAAACCCACACGCAUCUAGAAAUCUGCCGAACAGGUGCGGAUUUCUCUGCCCAUACAUGUUUUUUGCUUGAGUUAUGUUAUGUCUUCCCGUACAUGUUAUUUCCUCUUAAAGGUGUUUGCUGAGUUACAGAUAGAUACAAGCUUAGUGUCAAUGGUGAGUAACCCUUUUUGGAUUUCGUGUUUUUGGUUUACGUUUUCUGGCAUAAGCUCUCUAAGCAAGGAAAUGGUGUUUCUCGGCAAAACAUAAAUAAAUGGUAUGGUACUAAGUAUUUUUAAUUGUUCUUCCCAACAGAUUAUAUCUUGAUAUCCAUUUCUCGGAUUCAUUAUAAGAUUGACUUUCCCAGAUUAUACCUUAACUUUCUGUAUCUUGAAAGUAGGAAAAUUUGAGUGCUUUACACUUUUGAAUGAAGCAAUGGGAAUCACAUAGAAAAAAUCUGGGGUUAUGUUUCAAUCGGCCUAUGUGAAUUCCAUCAGCUUCAUUCAAACUUGAGAUCAGCAGAUAUAGAUGAUGAAUUGCAUCAGAAAACUAUCUUCACCAACAUCCACUGUGUUGUAUGUAUAUGAAGAAGCAUUGUCAUUCACAUUGACACUACUUUACUCGAAGAAUGGAACAUUACGAGGAUUAAGGAAGUGAAGACAAUUAUGAGUGGGGAUAGUGUUGAAAAGGAUGGUAAUUUUCUUUUUGUCGCAAAACCAGUUUUGUUCUUUCUUGCUUGCUUUUUUGUCUUAGUCACAAUAUGUUAUGGUUUUUCUAUUUUUGUGUUAGGAAACCUGAAUUUUAUUAUAUUAGGAGUCAGCUUAUGAAAUUACUCAAUUAGUAAUCAUAAUCAUGCAGAAUAGAUAACCUCGAAAUAUUAUCAAGAUGUACCACUGCAAGGAGAAUCAAGUUGUGGAAAAAAUUCCUAGCUAGGAUAACAACUUGAUAGGGGCUAAUAACGACAAGAAAAUAUGUGGGUGCUAUCUGAGAUUAGGUUUCGUAUGUCCAUUUGUUUUGAUUUCUACAAAUUAGUUUCUUAUGUCUAUUUGAUUUGAUUGCUACAAAAAGUUUUCUGUGUAUAUGGGUUUUUUUUUUUUUUUUUUUUUUAGAAUUGGUGGAUAGUUCAUGUUAAAUGUCUCCUUUUAAUUCAUGUUGCCUGUUUAUUGCGUUUUUUCUCUCAAACUCACAGAAAGAAUAUUGAGCCUUAAUAAUUCUCAGAAAGAUUCUUUUAGGGGUUCAGGAUGUAAAAAGAGAGAUGGCAAAAGAUCAAAUUCAGUAUGGAAAAACAUGGAAAUCACUUCCCAUAAACUCAUCACUGGAUAUUUCUUCAUAACAACCUGUAUAUCAUAAUUAAAGAUUCUUUUUUGGGUUUUGCUGUUUUCAUCUGUCUCUAAGGGAGGCUGAGAUGGAAUGUGCAAGGAAAUUGUACACAGAAGUCAAACAUCUCCGAUAUGAUGAGGUUUAGUUAUGUAAUUCUCCACAUACUGUUGUCGUCAUAGUUCCAGUUGUUGGCAUGUUAACUUCUUUAAUUAUGAACAAAGAAAUUUAGUGCAUCGUUGAGAGUCUGGAAACAACCAUCGUCUUAACUUAUGAGUUAUCAAUUGUCUUUCUACUUGAAUUUUAAAAAGGGUGUUCUAUAAGUCUAAGCCAUGUCUUAAUGGAGACGCAGACGCUCAGAUUUUUGGAACAAAAAAUAUCAAGAAGUUUUUCUCUAUUCAGCUCCAUCACUUUCAUUUUCGUAUGUUGGUCUACCACAUCUGCACAUCCCACCCAAACCCUCACCAUGCAAUGAAUUCAUUUUUUAGAUGUAUGGAAUUGAGCAUUGCUCUUUGGGGUUCUUCUGCAAAUUAUGUCAGCAAUGAUCUAAUUAGUGGGGACUCCAACCCAGCACCGGUAGUGAUUGCCAUUUGCUUCACUUCUAUGAAGAAUUAAGGUAACCGUCCCUCUUUUUUAAAUUAUGGUUAGAGAUUUCGUCGUAUGAUUGUCUAUAUAAACCAUACUGAAUAACCAAUAUAAUUUACGUGCAAGCAUGUGUGGCCUCUUAAUAGAACAAGUACAAUUCCAUGUAGGAUUACAAAAUAUAAAAGGUAGUGUCUAGCGAGUUUGAUUUCAAUAUUAACCAAUUUAUUCUUGGCAUCUCUCAACAUGGAUCUCUAAUUAUUUCCCGUCCAUAUCUAUGAACUAACUUGCUGAUGGAUUAGACGCACUUUGAUGACAACGCUGACGCUUUGCUGGUAAGUAGGAGAUGGGAAAGAAUCAGGAUUGUUUCAUUAGCAUAUUUUAUGUUUGGGGUCAUCUUUGGGGUCAUCUUCCUUCGUUGUAACAUUAGCAUAUUUUAUGUUUAAAAAGGGAUAUGUAUUCACUAGCUCCCUUGCUAAUAGGGCUUACUUCUUUUGCUUGAAACAAAGUUUAACUUACCCUUUUUAUCCUGUUAAUUUUAGGUAUUUCUGGGGUUCGCAGGUGGGAAAGAAUCAGGCAACAAAGAUUGAGAUGCCACAAGCGAUGUAUAAAUGUGUUGAUUUUUUGUCGCCUCAUAUCAAAAAUAUAUCCAGGUAUAGAAGGCCAUAUUCCUACGGCAAAAUAUAUGACGCAUCGAACUAUUCUUUCACUGAUGAAUGAGGACGUCUCUGCAAUAAAUGAAGUCAUUCUACAAAUGUAUCAGGGAUCAUAUCACUCUUAACAUGGCAGCGGGUAAGGUGGCGGAGGAUUUGGAUAAAAGGUCUACCAGAAAUAUGGGAUGCCCAUUGGAAAGUUUCAAUGCAAUGAAUCCACCGGGGUUGCCGCCAUUUAACUUGGAAGUAAUGGUGGGAUCUCUGCUAAUGAUGCCACAUAAUAUUGUCUCGACUGAUGGACUGUGCAACGGAACCAGAUUGAGUGUGGGAGGACAUGUAAUUGAAGCAACAAUCUUGACCGGAGACAAGCGAGGACAGUUGGUUUUUAGCCCACAAAUAUCACUAACGCCUUGACCGUCGGAUCCCAAUGUGAAAAAUUUUAAGAGACGAUUUCCUAUACAACUCAUAUAGGCAAUGUCAAUAAACAAGUCCCAAGGCCAACCGCUGAAAUACGUUGGAAUCCAUUUGAGGAUUCCGAUUUUCAGUCAUGGGCAACUAUGUGUGGCACUCUUCGAGAUGCACAACAACAAGAAUAAAAGGCUAUUAACUUAAAAGAGCGGAGAAGUCAACAAAACGUAUAUUGAAGUGUAUAUUGAAGUGUAUUCAGAAGUACUUUUUGGUUAUCUACAUAAACGUUGUCAAUAGUAGAUGUCUACCGCCGUC